AACGAACGCUGGCGGCGCGCCUAACACAUGCAAGUCGAACGAGAAUCCGGGGCAACCCGGUAGUAAAGUGGCAAACGGGUGAGGAAUACAUGGGUAACCUACCCUUGAGAAGGGAAUAACCCGCCGAAAGGUGAGCUAAUACCCUAUACGCUAUCUUUUUUUCGAAAAGGAUAGGAAAGCCGGGUCGAGGACCUGGUACUCAAGGAGGGGCUCAUGUCCUAUCAGCUUGUUGGUGGGGUAACGGCCUACCAAGGCUACGACGGGUAGCUGGUCUGAGAGGAUGAUCAGCCACACUGGCACUGAGAUACGGGCCAGACUCCUACGGGAGGCAGCAGUGAGGAAUAUUGCGCAAUGGGCGAAAGCCUGACGCAGCCACGCCGCGUGAGCGAUGAAGGCCUUGGUCGUAAGACUCUGUGGGGGAGGAAGAAAAGACCGGUGAAGAGCCGGACCUGACGGUAUCCCUUACGCAAGCACCGGCUAACUCCGUGCCAGCAGCCGCGGUAAUGUCUAG
This 511-nucleotide ribosomal RNA is filed under the name uncultured bacterium. RNAcentral's name for it is "bacterial SSU rRNA". It matches the Rfam family "Bacterial small subunit ribosomal RNA", at positions 29 to 530 of the family's 1533-position model. The record is from RNAcentral.